RNAcentral lists this long non-coding RNA (751 nucleotides) under Dromaius novaehollandiae (emu). Its description in RNAcentral is "lncRNA (ENSDNVG00000008245.1)". Lineage: Eukaryota; Metazoa; Chordata; Aves; Casuariiformes; Dromaiidae. The record is from RNAcentral.
AAGGAGCUCCCUCGGAGCAGGUACUUCCCCUUAGACAGCUUUUGUCAGAGGAAAGGCGGAAUUGGUUAUGGGCUACGUGCUUUUACCGCCUUUCCAGAACAGGAAACAGAAUCAACAGAACCAUGAAGAAAAAUGCUGGUGGAAAGAGAAGGUCUGUCCCAGGAUACAGGAAGAUCUCUUUAAGAGCUAAGCCACUGUUGUGCUGCCUCCCCAGCUAGUUCUGCAAACCAGCUGCCUGCCUGUGUGAGCACAGAUGCGACAAAGGAAUUGCUUGAAACUGGAAGUUCUUGCACCAGUCCCUUUCCAGCCUGUCUCCUGAUGCUGGCUAGUCCCCACCAUGCCCUCCAUCCUGAAGUGCAUCUGAUGGCGUUUCUAGCUCAAUAUUGGAGUUCUUUAAAGAAGUACCUUCAUCACAGGACUUGCGUUUAUCUUUGGUGGUUCUCCCUUCCUCCUUGUCCCCCUGGUGAUAACAUCGGAUCUUUAAGCAUUUGCCAAGCUGCGAAGAGAGAGAUGGGGUCAGGCUGGCCAACCCUCUGAGGUGGCGGCAGAAGAGAAGAUGCCAGCGAACAGCGUGUUUUGCUGCCUCCUCACCUUCAGCCUUUUCAGCAGCUCCCAGCUCAGCGGCUUUCUUCCGUUUUCCUCCUCACUGCACCGAGGACGAUGGUGUUUGAGCAUGCUGAGGGUACUGCAGCGCAGCAUUGCAGGUGAGGGCUUCGCAUGAGCCGUGCUGCCCAGGCUAUGUGCCGUGAGU